CACGGGGGGAGCAAGCGUUGUUCGGAAUCACUGGGCGUAAAGGGCGUGUAGGCGGUUUGGUAAGUGAGAUGUGAAAUGCUUCGGCUCACCCGAAGACCUGCAUCUCAAACUGCCGGACUAGAGUAUGGGAGAGGACAAGGGAAUUCCUGGUGUAGCGGUGAAAUGCGUAGAUAUCAGGAGGAACACCAAUGGCGAAGGCAGCUCGCUGGGACGGUACUGACGCUGAGACGCGAAAGCGUGGGGAGCAAACAGG
This 253-nucleotide ribosomal RNA is filed under the name uncultured bacterium. Its description in RNAcentral is "partial 16S ribosomal RNA". It matches the Rfam family "Bacterial small subunit ribosomal RNA", at positions 524 to 776 of the family's 1533-position model. The record is from RNAcentral.